This 615-nucleotide ribosomal RNA is filed under the name uncultured bacterium. Its description in RNAcentral is "bacterial SSU rRNA". It matches the Rfam family "Bacterial small subunit ribosomal RNA", at positions 28 to 635 of the family's 1533-position model. The record is from RNAcentral.
AUUGAACGCUGGCGGCAGGCUUAACACAUGCAAGUCGAGCGGAAACGAUGGGAGCUUGCCCCAGGCGUCGAGCGGCGGACGGGUGAGUAACGCGUGGGAAUCUGCCCAGUAGAGGGGGAUAGCCCGGGGAAACCCGGAUUAAUACCGCAUACGCCCUAAGGGGGAAAGGCCGGGAUCUUCGGACCGGUCACUAUUGGAUGAGCCUGCGUGAGAUUAGCUAGUUGGUAGGGUAAAGGCCUACCAAGGCGACGAUCUCUAGCUGGUCUGAGGGGAUGAUCAGCCACACUGGAACUGAGACACGGUCCAGACUCCUACGGGAGGCAGCAGUGGGGAAUAUUGGACAAUGGGGGCAACCCUGAUCCAGCCAUGCCGCGUGUGUGAAGAAGGCCUUCGGGUUGUAAAGCACUUUCAGUAGGGAGAAAGGGGUUGAAGUUAAUAGCUUCAAUCAUUGAUGUUACCUACAGAAGCAGCACCGGCUAACUCCGUGCCAGCAGCCGCGGUAAUACAGAGGGUGCAAGCGUUAAUCGGAAUUACUGGGCGUAAAGCGUGCGUAGUCGGUUAUUCAAGUCGGGUGUGAAAGCCCCGGGCUCAACCUGGGAAUUGCAUUCGAUACUG